Molecule: long non-coding RNA, 1252 nt
Filed under: Oryctolagus cuniculus (rabbit)
Lineage: Eukaryota; Metazoa; Chordata; Mammalia; Lagomorpha; Leporidae
Description: lncRNA (ENSOCUG00000030285.1)
Source: RNAcentral
CUGCUGUGGCCUGGGAAAGCAGGGGAAGAUGACCAAGUGCUUGGGCCCCUGCACCCACGUGGGAGACCUGAAGGAAGCUCCUGGCUCGAGAUCCGGCAGUUGUGGCCAAUUGGGAAGUGAAGCAGCGGGUGGAGACCUCUCUCUCUGUCUCUCACUGUCUAACUCUGCCUGGCAAAAAAAAAAAAAAAAAAAAAAAAAAACGACGCCGCCGCCGGGCUGUGCUGAGGCUGUCGUGUCCAGAACGGCCCGAGCCUCGCUCCGCGUCCCGCCCAGGGUUCCCGCUGCCUCUCUCCGUGUCCCGCCUGGGGUCCCCACUGCCUCUCCUCUCCCUCUCCGUGACCUGCCCGGGGACCACUCGGUGAGGUUGCCUGGCGGGCUGUCUCCUACGGCGGCCUUGGGCAUCCCCCAAGCACUGCCAAGCUGCUUAGACUGUUGCUCAGAACAGGGGCCUGGGGAAGCCCUGCCUGCAGCGCCCCCAGCCCAGACGGGCGCUCGGCUCCAGCUCCCGCUGGUGUGCCUGGGAGAGCAAGGUGGGGGCUGGCGCUGUGCAGUGGGCUGAGCCUCCGUGUGGUGCUGGUUCGAGUCCCGGAGGCUCCAGCUCUCUGCCGUCCCAGGAAAGCAGCAGCAGAUGGCCCGAGUGCUGGAGCCCCUGCACCCACCGGACCUGAUGAAGCUCCCGGCUCCCGGCUUCAGGUCGGGCUGGAUGGCCACUGGGAGCCAACCAGCUCCAUCCCUGUAUCUCUGCCUUUCAAAUAAACGGGAGAGAGAGUGUACUAGACAGAGUCUGGAGCUGAGAAGUACAAAGGGACACGAUUACUGGCAGGUUGAAAAGAGCCAGCGAAAGGAAGUUAGGUCAGCCCAGGUCGUCCGGUCCGAGGAAGGGACGUGGAGGGGAGGAGGAACAGCGCCCGCGAGCUGCAGGACACAGGACGUGCAGAGGGGGGAGGGGGAGGGGAGGAGACUAUUUAAAGAAACAAUGCCAAGGUUUAUGAACAUUCACCUACGUGCCCGGACGCAUCACACGUUGUUGGAGAGAAGCGACCACCACACACAGCAGCACCUGGGAGACGGGGAUGGUGUCCCGACUCCAGGCUCCAGCACGGCCCAGGGACGCUGGUGCCACCAUCUGGAGAGUAAAUCAGUGGACACAGAUCCUCUCUCCGCCUUUCAAACACACAGCAUUUCACAAAGCAGGUCUCUGCGUCGGCCUCUCCCUGCCGUCCCCUGUGCUCCAGUGCCGGCUGGGCUGUGA